CCUACGGGUGGCUGCAGUGGGGGAUAUUGCACAAUGGGGGAAACCCUGAUGCAGCGACGCCGCGUGUGGGAAGACGGUCCUCUGGAUUGUAAACCACUGUCCCCAGGGACGAAGAUGACGGUACCUGGGGAGUAAGCUCCGGCUAACUACGUGCCAGCAGCCGCGGUAAUACGUAGGGGGCAAGCGUUGUCCGGAAUUACUGGGUGUAAGGGGAGCGUAGGCGGGAUGGCAAGUUGGGUGUUAAAUCUACCGGCUCAACUGGUAGUCGCACUCAAAACUGCUAGUCUUGAGUGAAGUAGAGGCAGGCGGAAUUCCUAGUGUAGCGGUGAAAUGCGUAGAUAUUAGGAGGAACACCAGUGGCGAAGGCGGCCUGCUGGGCUUUUACUGACGCUGAGGCUCGAAAGUGUGGGGAGCAAACAGGAUUAGAUACCCGGGUAGUC
This 440-nucleotide ribosomal RNA is filed under the name uncultured bacterium. Its description in RNAcentral is "partial 16S ribosomal RNA". It matches the Rfam family "Bacterial small subunit ribosomal RNA", at positions 338 to 795 of the family's 1533-position model. The record is from RNAcentral.